Molecule: long non-coding RNA, 1930 nt
Organism: Strigops habroptila (Kakapo)
Lineage: Eukaryota; Metazoa; Chordata; Aves; Psittaciformes; Psittacidae
Exons: 4
Source: RefSeq, a predicted model, not a curated record
UGGGCUAAAUUGUGCAAAUAUGUGAAAUUAGAAAGGGGAGAAAUUAGGGAAGACUCCAUUGUAACUACUGGGAUUGGUCAACUGGUGAAACCUGACUUCUCCUCCCAUAAGGACACCUAUUAGAAAUACUGGAAGAGCAAGAAGAAAAUCUGUAUUACAUACAAUACAGGGAUAGAUUAAGAGAAGGAACACUAAUAUGGAGAGCAGUAAUUAUCCUUCAAAGCUCUUAUCAUAAAUGGAACUUUCUGAUGGUGCACCUCCUGGUGUAAUGGAAGACCAUGGAUUGCAACAACAAAAAACAGCUGCAUGUUUUUAACCAGAAUGGAAGUGGCAGAGCGGAACAGGAACACAGGAGUCGGCUCUGCGGACAAAGGGAGAACUGGCAUGGAUAUAACAGAUCAAAUAACUUCAAGAGAAAACUGGAAGGGAGGCUGUUAAUAUUGUUUCCAUUAACAUACCCAUAAACAAAUAACUUGGCGAAAGUAUGUCUUUGCCAGCAUGGACUGAAAAAAAGGACUGGAAUGAAUCCUGCAGCAAGAGCAGGGAAAACUAGUCUUGCUAUUCUUCAUAUCCCCCAACUGGGAAAAAAAAAAAGAAAAAAAAAACAUGUUUUCCUCUUUUAAAAUAUUCUGAGUGUCUCAUUCCUGCGUCCUCUGUACACGAGAAAAAGAUGUUAGCUGCAAGUGUCAGAAACAUUUUUUUUUCUUGAUACAUCUUUUUAUGGAAAUAAAUUCAAACAUCAAACAAUGAUUGGUUUACUGAAUAGAAGCUAUGUUUAUUAAAUCACAGAAAAAACAUUUAUUGGUUUAUGGCAGCAAUCAUUGCUUGCCAUCACUCUAAUAUUUUCACUCAUUUAGUAGCAUUAAAUACUUCUUUAAUAUGUUUGCAUAUCAAAGGUGAACUUCAGUGAUAAUAAAAGGGCAAGAGUGAACAGGAUUACUACAAAGUUUUCUGAGCUAGUCUUCUAGUUCAAGUAGCUUUCAUUCAGCAUUCCUGAAAGUGCAGGUCUUGUCAAAGUAGGUCUGUGAACUACUUUAAAUCAAGCAUGCUGUGCUGCAUUCAGAAUCUUGGUGGAUUAACACAUUAUAAAGCAAUUUGCGGAAAAUGCAUGAUUAGCAGCAAAGCUAGUUUUAAUGAAAUGGUUGAAAAAUUAAUGUUUGCUAAAAAUGUAAUGGUUCAAUUCAGUUCAUAAUAUUUCGCAAAGCUGCUUUUUCAUGUUAAAACUGAUUUUCCAUUCCAACACUUUCCUUCUACUUUGUAAAAUCUGGUUGUUUUGAAGUACAGACUGAGCUCUGCAUUUGCCUGUUCAUAGAUCAGAUCCCAAGGAAAGCUGGAAUAGACGGAGAAAAACUCAAGACAUUUAUAAAACUGUUCUUAUCAUUGCAAGUCCUUGUUAGUCGGCCAUAGGUGCUUGUAGGUGUCUGCACCAUUGGAAGAUACUAGUAAAAACUCUUCAGUCUGUUUGAAAAAUCACAGAGAGUAUGAUACAGUCCAUGGUCUAAAGCAUACACAAUCAAGUUAUGAGAGACAGGGAGUUAAGAAAAACAAGAAUGACUAUUCAAACAGAUGGACAGUAUGAAAGCCUUAAGAAACACCUUAUUUCCAGAAGUUUUUGCUGUUGUCUUUGUCAGUUUCCCUUAUUAGGUUGAAUUUGAUCUUGUUUAAUAUCAUUAAGUUAAAUCUUCUUGGAGAGAUUGUUUCAGGAUAUCAAUGGAAAGGCAAAGGACAGUAGGGCUAAUUGGAAUCAGUGUAGCACAGCAGACUUCAGAGAGAGGCGAAAUAUUUUUGAAUGAGAACUUCAGAAAGCCAUCUGAGAGUGUCUUUGGUGUAAUUCUGUCUGAAGCUUCACUCUGUAGCUACCGCAUUGAUUUCUGUCUUUUGGUACAGAAUAAUUCCGAGAUAACAGAAAUAAAGAAAUUACAUGUAUAGC